UAUAGGUGUACCAUUUCUUCCAUGGGUACGUAAAUUUAGUCUAAAAUAUUAAAAAAGGGUCAAAUCCAUUCAUGGGGCAGUAUGGAAUGAAUAGAGGAGGGAGCAUUUUUACCCUUACCAAAUGGUACCACCCCACUCACGGCAUUGUGUAAUUUGGGUUUUUCCGGUUUUCUAUUAAUGCGAUGCUACGAAAGCAACCCAUAUUCCAUCAACGGAAAAUAAAUGUCUGGAUACAAAUUGCACCCAAGGUACAUCGUCAGUCUGUAUUAUACGCAGCUAUCCUCUCUACCCUGAAGCUGGUUUUUCUCCAAGAACUUUUCCACAGCUACAGACUAUCCAAUAUUCAAGUGGGAGCUCUCUGGAAGGAGUUGCAAAAUGGCGUCCUGCCUCUCAGUAUUGGCUUCUUGUCUCUCUGCCUUGGGUUCACGUGUUGCCGCAGCAGUUUCUUCAUGUUUUUCGGUAGCAGCCUCAAAAUUCUAUCGAUGCCUUCUCUAUUUGGGUGUCCACCAGCGCAACACGACCGAAAUAAUAAACACAGCAUCCAUGUGGGUGGACUUCGAAGACUACUGGUUCACUCAAGGGCAUUCCCGGCAUGUUUACCGGGGCACGUAUCAAGGCGACCGUCGCGUGGAGGGCAAACCCUGCGUCGUGAAAGUCUACAAAGAAGAAUGGUACUUGAACAACGACCGAGAAGAAUACACAUGGAGAGUAGACCAACGUGCCUACGACAAAGCCCAUGAAAUGGCGCGGGAUUUUAAUGAACAGUGUCAAACAAGUAAAGCAAUCCAAUUCGUUCGACCGGAAUUCACCAGCAUUAAGGUUUCUCAAUUCAUCCCCAUAAACGCAAUGGUGGCCAUCGAGAUGUACCUGGAUGGGAAGGACUUCGAGAAAUUCUCAAGCAAUGUUGGUUAUGUUAACCCUGUCGCUAUGGCGUCCCCGGCUGCCUUCAGCCACUUCACUUACCAUACCUCGGGUGGCAAAGUUUUAGUUUGUAAGUUACAAGGGAUUCGCAGUAGCGCGUGGUACAAAUUCUCUGCUCCGGCUAUUCAGAGCGGAGGCAUGGAACUUGGAGAGUAUGGUCCGAGUGAUUUGGGAAAGUUUGGCAUAUUGGCAUUUUUUGAUGACCAUUGCUGUAAUGAUUUGUGCAAAGGGUGGAAGAAACCCCAAAUCAUCGACCUUUCUCCUGAACAAGGAAACUUACUUGAUAAAAUCAUGAGCGCCAUGCGGUCUGAGCGUUCGUCAAAGCGCACUUGUUAUCUGAACGAGUUGACUGACGUUCCUGUCGAACAGAUCGUACAAAUACAUAGCACUUUAAGGCUGGAAGCAGUCCAUGUUUCGUGAACAGGCAUAAACUAAAAACAUCCCCCAUGCAUAAACUUUGCUUUUCUUCACUUUAGUUAAAUCCGCCUUUUCUGUUAAGAAAUACACACAGUUCGGCCUAACCAAGCCUCAAUAUACCAAUAGCGACAUUAUUUCAAAACACGCUUCUAAGACUUCGUGAUACAUUCAUUUCACAAAUAACAUCCUUUUCGGAAACUGCUCAUCGAACAAGUUCGACUCCCCUCCAGACAAAAAAAGAACAUUUGCAGUGUUUCUGCCAUUGGGAACAUUGCUUUCGUUACCACUGUUGGUGGUCAGUGGUAUUUCUAGUAGUUAGGGGUGGUCCAGGGAUUAUCUCGGCUUGGUGAACUGGCUGUUUCAAUGUGUAGCCUAUUUCAACACUGUCUGUGUACACUUGCAGAGGAAUUGAGGUCAUUUUACGUUGUAAUGACAAGCCUAUUCCAAAGUGGUCAUACCUUGCUAUACUAUACAGUUUACAAAAUAGCCUUCACGUUUGUGCUCAUGUCCUUCAAAUUGCCAACAUUAGCAGUGACUGAAUAGUAGUAAAUGUAUAGUACCUGUUGAUAUUGUAGCUUAGAGAGCUGGUAGAACCUAGUUCCAGAGGCGUAUCCAACUUUUGAAGGGGGGAAUUUAAAAGCGAAAGCGGCUUUGGGCAUUUAAUAUGAUGUUUGGGGAGCAGAAAAUUAAAAGCCUUACUCACGGUCAUGUCUUUGCCAAAGAGUUCAUAAUGCGUGUAACUUGUCUGCAGUAAAUGCAAAGAAAUGACAUAUUUUACUGAACAAAAACCUACGAUUUCAAAAAGGGCAUGAUUUUGAUGCUGUAAUUGUUAGUAGGCUUUCAAACUUAAACAGCACACGGUAUACACUGAGAGCUAUUUCCAGUGUUACAGAACAUAGUAUUCACACUGAAAUCAAAUUCCUUAUGUCACUUGAUUUCUUUAUUUUCAGACGUUCCAACUUCACUUAAAAUACUAUAUUGGCCUGAUUCUAACACAUUUCGAAUAAAGCCACGUUUGACAACAGAAACUGUUCUAUUUAUAUUUAAAAUAAAAAGUCCACGAACAUAUAAAAAGCCUCAAUAAAAAGUUGAGGAAACUUGUAAAAACUCCUGCCUACACUUCAUUCCUAAAUUAUCAUUCUAUUGUUUGCAUUUGUAAAAAAAAUAUUAGUGAGCUACAUUUUUGUUACUUCGUAGUCGUAGACAAAGAACAGUUGAAAAUAAAAGUUCAGUAUUCAAUUUUCACAAAUAUUUUCGAUAUUUACAUGUGCAGUAAGUCAGUAGUGAUCUAGCACUACAUCUGGAGUGGUUAAUUCUUUAAUUGUAUGAACAUUUGUGCCAUUUUUAACCAUUUGAGCAAAACAUUUAAUGAGUGGAAAUUGGCCAAAGGCCAAAUCAGUUUACGGUCUAGACUUAUCUUCCAUUUUCUGGGAAUCAGCACUACCGGAACUCUAUUUUGUAGAGUACAAAUGUUUAGUCCUUUUCUCUAUCGGUCCUUUUUAACACUUUGAUUUUUUGUUAACCUUUGGAAACCCCUCAGUUUUACGCUGUUUUCUAAAGGUACCGAGCAGUGAAAAAUUGUUUAGAAUAGCAAUUUCAAACGAUUUCGAAUAUAUUCAAUUAAUAAAAGAAACUUCUUUAGGCUAAAUUUCAAUACAUUUUACUUGAUUUCAAUUUACUAAUGAGAGGGAUAGUAUAAUGUUACACUGUACGAAAGUGACCGAGUGCAGUAUGUAUAUGUAUCAGUGUACCGAAUAAAACAGUUAUUAGUUUUGAGGUAAUUGCAUGAUUUAACUUUUAACGAGUUAUGAAAACUUAAAACUUCCAAACAUUCGUCUUCUGAAGUAUCCCACACCAGAGAUGGUAUAACAAUGUCUGUGAUACUUGUCCAGAACUUCUCAGACAUUUGUCAAGCAUGCUGCCAAAAACAGCCAGCUAUUUUGGAAGAUUUUUGUCAGACAGCAUCACAAUAAAAAUAUUUAAGGAUUUUUUUUUGAGAAAACAAGUGGCUGCUAGAGAACACAUUACACGCCUAACUUUCCCAACAAGUCUGUUGCUAUGCUCAUUCCACAAUAGAGACAGAUUAACCCAGAGUUGUGUACUAGGACUAAGCAAAAUUAUCAGUGGAAAUACUAUCGAUCUCAAUAUGUAAAUUAUCCUCUCCUUGUCCCAGUUUAGCAUACUUUUUUUUUGUUCUCCAGUGUGGGAACUUUCUUUUGCAGCCAACUCUGCUAAUGCUUUUGAUAGAUUUGGCACAAGGGAAAAUAUCGUCAGCAUGUAAAAUAUCAAUGAAUUACUGUACAUAUUCAAAAGAAAACUACCUGUUAUUGAUACUUGAUGGGGCAGUCCAAAAUAACAUUGUAAAAUGUGUUGGUAAGAUGACCGUAGUGAAUAGUGUCUAAUAUUUCAUAACAAUAAACUCCCAGGUUUACAGUGUUGUUUACAUUAACAUAUCUUUUUUUGCUAGGUUGAAGUGAUAAGCUAAUUUGUGAGUAGAAUUUGCUGUCCAGUAGUAAUCCUGCAAUAAAUUGUAGAAUGUAUAGCAAUUGCGUUUGUGGGUCUAUUGUCUGUGUCAUGACGGAAAAUAAAAACUAAUUAUAGAUCCUGUACACUGCUUAA
This 3957-nucleotide unclassified non-coding RNA is filed under the name Acanthaster planci (crown-of-thorns starfish). RNAcentral's name for it is "alpha-protein kinase vwkA-like, transcript variant X2". Lineage: Eukaryota; Metazoa; Echinodermata; Asteroidea; Valvatida; Acanthasteridae. The record is from RNAcentral.